ACGACCUUACUUGAACAGGAUCUGUUCUAUAGGGAAGUACCUCUGUAUCCUUUAGUGAAAAGGAGACGGCAACCUAAACCUGGUUGAUGAAUCAGGACCGUGCGAUCAGAGCGUGAUUAAUGGUUGGUGACUCAUGUGAUGGGUUCUCUGGCUGUAGAGGAUCGUUCUUAGCUGCCCUGUAGUGGCUGAGAUGGUCGUGCGGUUGUCUGACAGGUU
RNAcentral lists this small nucleolar RNA (216 nucleotides) under Thalictrum thalictroides. RNAcentral's name for it is "Plant small nucleolar RNA U3". It matches the Rfam family "Plant small nucleolar RNA U3". From Rfam's summary of the family: Small nucleolar RNAs (snoRNAs) are involved in the processing and modification of rRNA in the nucleolus. Lineage: Eukaryota; Viridiplantae; Streptophyta; Magnoliopsida; Ranunculales; Ranunculaceae. The record is from Rfam by way of RNAcentral.